GACAGAGGGUGCAAACGUUGUUCGGAAUUACUGGGCGUAAAGCGAGUGUAGGCGGUUUGGUAAGCCGGAUGUGAAAGCCCCCGGCUCAACUGGGGAGGGUCACGCGAUACUGCUCGACUCGAAGGCAGGAGAGGGAAGUGGAAUUCCCGGUGUAGUGGUGAAAUGCGUAGAUAUCGGGAGGAACACCAGUGGCGAAGGCGACUUCCUGGCCUGUUCUUGACGCUGAGGCGCGAAAGCUAGGGUAGCAAACGGG
Molecule: ribosomal RNA, 253 nt
Filed under: uncultured bacterium
Lineage: Bacteria
Description: partial 16S ribosomal RNA
Rfam family: Bacterial small subunit ribosomal RNA
Source: RNAcentral